This is a long non-coding RNA of Haliotis rubra (blacklip abalone), 380 nucleotides long. RefSeq lists it as uncharacterized. NCBI's taxonomy places the organism in Eukaryota, Metazoa, Mollusca, Gastropoda, Lepetellida, Haliotidae. The record is from RefSeq and is a predicted model, not a curated record. The transcript is spliced from 3 exons.
AACUUGUUCAUUGGAAUGAAGUUUUCAAUCAAUAAAAUUUGUUCCUCUAUAUCAUACCAGCUUCUAAAUGCCACUUAAUGAAGUUAUAUUGAAAUAUAUUUUUUUUCAUCCUUUGCAAAGAUUCUUGAGUAACAUAACAGAAACUAUAUUAAAAAUAUGCAUAUUUGUAUUUGCAUAUAUGUGCAAAAUAUUCAGCUUAUGAUGAAAUUAAUGGGAUAACCUUAAGAAUAUGUUUCACCACUAAGGACACUAAGGCAAACCAAGAUCUAUAGACAAGGUGAAUAAGAACACAAGGCCUAAGUAACAGUAAAACAAUUACACGGAUACAGAUGCAAACAAGGAACAGUUGAUAACAGUUGUCGGUACUGACAACCAGAAGA